Molecule: long non-coding RNA, 784 nt
Organism: Physella acuta
Lineage: Eukaryota; Metazoa; Mollusca; Gastropoda; Physidae
Source: RefSeq, a predicted model, not a curated record
UUUACAGUAUAAAAAACGUGUUAAUCUCCUGGGCGUCAUUACAUUUCUUUCUCCACCAAACAUCCGUGUGUGUAGUACAUUUUAUUUCACAGUGCACGGUCCAAUUUCUAGUGUUUAUAACUUUCCAUGAUAUAUCAGUUGUGCUUAACCUCACAAGAUUGUACCGUUUCUCUGAUAAACUAACAACAAACGCCAUGUCUCGUCUGCUGAUGUUCUGUGUUUUGACUCUACUGCUUGUCUCUGUGAGUAGUGAAGGACAAAUUGGCACCUGUGCUGAGAUGUGUGGGCACAGCAGGAUCCUGAGAUCUAUCGGGAGUGGCGGGUGUCCCGUGGGGUACGAGUGCAGGUCCAAUGGGUGUGGUCAUUCCUGUCAGCCAAUAGCCAAUCGACCCAGAGGCGUAGCCAGGGCGGCGCGGGAGGUGCGGACCGCACUGGGUGACACCAUUUAGGGGGGUGACACCAAAGCAAAAAAAAAAAAAAAGCAAAAUGUACAGAAGAAAAAUGCUCUAUUGCUAGUUUCAUUAAUGAUCAAUUAAAGUUGAAUAGUCUUUUAAGUACAAUUGACAACUGUACAAGAGGGUGGGGGUGACACCAUGACGUAAGCGUGCUAACUAUAGAUAAAACAAUGCUACAUCCAACUACAUAAUUAAUAGACUUUAGAUCUGUAACAUCGUUACUAUUAAGUCUGCAAUGAUUAAAGCUUAAACACAUACCACAUGUACGUGUAUUUAAAUUAUAGGCCAAUGUAGGCCGACACAUACACACACAUACACACACACACACA